Molecule: transfer RNA, 72 nt
Filed under: Chlorobiota bacterium
Lineage: Bacteria; Pseudomonadati; Chlorobiota
Description: tRNA-Gln
Rfam family: tRNA
About the family: Transfer RNA (tRNA) molecules are approximately 80 nucleotides in length. Their secondary structure includes four short double-helical elements and three loops (D, anti-codon, and T loops).
Source: RNAcentral
UGAGGUGUCGCCAAGUGGUAAGGCAUCGGACUUUGAAUCCGACACGCCCAGGUUCGAAUCCUGGCACCUCAA